GACGAACGCUGGCGGCGUGCCUAAUACAUGCAAGUAGAACGCUGAAGAGAGGAGCUUGCUCUUCUUGGAUGAGUUGCGAACGGGUGAGUAACGCGUAGGUAACCUGCCUUGUAGCGGGGGAUAACUAUUGGAAACGAUAGCUAAUACCGCAUAACAAUGGAUGACACAUGUCAUUUAUUUGAAAGGGGCAAUUGCUCCACUACAAGAUGGACCUGCGUUGUAUUAGCUAGUAGGUGAGGUAAUGGCUCACCUAGGCGACGAUACAUAGCCGACCUCAGAGGGCGAUCAGCCAAACUGGGACUGCGACACGGCCCAGAAUCCUACGGGAGGCAGCAGGAGGCAAUCUUCGGCAAUGGGGGCAAGACUGAACGAGCAACGCCGCGCGAGUGAAGAAGGUUUUCGGACCGUAAAGCUCUGUUGUAAGUCAAGAACGGGUGUGAGAGUGGAAAGUUCGCACUGUGACGGUAGCUUACCAGAAAGGGACGGCUAACUACGUG
RNAcentral lists this ribosomal RNA (497 nucleotides) under uncultured bacterium. RNAcentral describes it as "partial 16S ribosomal RNA". It matches the Rfam family "Bacterial small subunit ribosomal RNA", at positions 28 to 507 of the family's 1533-position model. The record is from RNAcentral.